Pseudophryne corroboree (corroboree frog) is the source of this 378-nucleotide long non-coding RNA. RefSeq lists it as uncharacterized. Lineage: Eukaryota; Metazoa; Chordata; Amphibia; Anura; Myobatrachidae. The transcript has 4 exons. The record is from RefSeq and is a predicted model, not a curated record.
AUCCGGCCACUUCCGGUCCGGGAUAUUUAAAUAGCAGUCCCGUUGCUGUCAUUUGGCAUGCAGCUCAGGGACGCGUUACUCUCCUCCCAACUACACACGCCGUGCAUACCGUGACCCUGCAGCUGCAUCAUGAUAGCAGGAUCUGUUUGAUCAGAUGUAUGUCCCUCUACAUCUAUGAUUUUUAAAGACUGUGUCCGGAUAUGCUAUUCCUUUUUUCGCUAGGAAUUUGUUGAUGACUAUGAUCUGACCUUAGACACAUGACAAUAAUUUGAUGCAAGAUGUUAAUUUAAAAGCUAAUAGUCUUGAGAAAGGCCCGUCACACGGACCGAAACGUCGACAUAUAUGGCUUUUGGAUUUUCUCAAUAAAAGUCUUUUAUA